Molecule: ribosomal RNA, 2903 nt
Filed under: Escherichia coli KTE235
Lineage: Bacteria; Pseudomonadati; Pseudomonadota; Gammaproteobacteria; Enterobacterales; Enterobacteriaceae
Description: bacterial LSU rRNA
Rfam family: Bacterial large subunit ribosomal RNA
Source: RNAcentral
UUAAGCGACUAAGCGUACACGGUGGAUGCCCUGGCAGUCAGAGGCGAUGAAGGACGUGCUAAUCUGCGAUAAGCGUCGGUAAGGUGAUAUGAACCGUUAUAACCGGCGAUUUCCGAAUGGGGAAACCCAGUGUGAUUCGUCACACUAUCAUUAACUGAAUCCAUAGGUUAAUGAGGCGAACCGGGGGAACUGAAACAUCUAAGUACCCCGAGGAAAAGAAAUCAACCGAGAUUCCCCCAGUAGCGGCGAGCGAACGGGGAGCAGCCCAGAGCCUGAAUCAGUGUGUGUGUUAGUGGAAGCGUCUGGAAAGGCGCGCGAUACAGGGUGACAGCCCCGUACACAAAAAUGCACAUACUGUGAGCUCGAUGAGUAGGGCGGGACACGUGGUAUCCUGUCUGAAUAUGGGGGGACCAUCCUCCAAGGCUAAAUACUCCUGACUGACCGAUAGUGAACCAGUACCGUGAGGGAAAGGCGAAAAGAACCCCGGCGAGGGGAGUGAAAAAGAACCUGAAACCGUGUACGUACAAGCAGUGGGAGCCUCUUAAUGGGGUGACUGCGUACCUUUUGUAUAAUGGGUCAGCGACUUAUAUUCUGUAGCAAGGUUAACCGAAUAGGGGAGCCGAAGGGAAACCGAGUCUUAACUGGGCGUUAAGUUGCAGGGUAUAGACCCGAAACCCGGUGAUCUAGCCAUGGGCAGGUUGAAGGUUGGGUAACACUAACUGGAGGACCGAACCGACUAAUGUUGAAAAAUUAGCGGAUGACUUGUGGCUGGGGGUGAAAGGCCAAUCAAACCGGGAGAUAGCUGGUUCUCCCCGAAAGCUAUUUAGGUAGCGCCUCGUGAAUUCAUCUCCGGGGGUAGAGCACUGUUUCGGCAAGGGGGUCAUCCCGACUUACCAACCCGAUGCAAACUGCGAAUACCGGAGAAUGUUAUCACGGGAGACACACGGCGGGUGCUAACGUCCGUCGUGAAGAGGGAAACAACCCAGACCGCCAGCUAAGGUCCCAAAGUCAUGGUUAAGUGGGAAACGAUGUGGGAAGGCCCAGACAGCCAGGAUGUUGGCUUAGAAGCAGCCAUCAUUUAAAGAAAGCGUAAUAGCUCACUGGUCGAGUCGGCCUGCGCGGAAGAUGUAACGGGGCUAAACCAUGCACCGAAGCUGCGGCAGCGACGCUUAUGCGUUGUUGGGUAGGGGAGCGUUCUGUAAGCCUGCGAAGGUGUGCUGUGAGGCAUGCUGGAGGUAUCAGAAGUGCGAAUGCUGACAUAAGUAACGAUAAAGCGGGUGAAAAGCCCGCUCGCCGGAAGACCAAGGGUUCCUGUCCAACGUUAAUCGGGGCAGGGUGAGUCGACCCCUAAGGCGAGGCCGAAAGGCGUAGUCGAUGGGAAACAGGUUAAUAUUCCUGUACUUGGUGUUACUGCGAAGGGGGGACGGAGAAGGCUAUGUUGGCCGGGCGACGGUUGUCCCGGUUUAAGCGUGUAGGCUGGUUUUCCAGGCAAAUCCGGAAAAUCAAGGCUGAGGCGUGAUGACGAGGCACUACGGUGCUGAAGCAACAAAUGCCCUGCUUCCAGGAAAAGCCUCUAAGCAUCAGGUAACAUCAAAUCGUACCCCAAACCGACACAGGUGGUCAGGUAGAGAAUACCAAGGCGCUUGAGAGAACUCGGGUGAAGGAACUAGGCAAAAUGGUGCCGUAACUUCGGGAGAAGGCACGCUGAUAUGUAGGUGAAGUCCCUUGCUGAUGGAGCUGAAAUCAGUCGAAGAUACCAGCUGGCUGCAACUGUUUAUUAAAAACACAGCACUGUGCAAACACGAAAGUGGACGUAUACGGUGUGACGCCUGCCCGGUGCCGGAAGGUUAAUUGAUGGGGUUAGCGGUAACGCGAAGCUCUUGAUCGAAGCCCCGGUAAACGGCGGCCGUAACUAUAACGGUCCUAAGGUAGCGAAAUUCCUUGUCGGGUAAGUUCCGACCUGCACGAAUGGCGUAAUGAUGGCCAGGCUGUCUCCACCCGAGACUCAGUGAAAUUGAACUCGCUGUGAAGAUGCAGUGUACCCGCGGCAAGACGGAAAGACCCCGUGAACCUUUACUAUAGCUUGACACUGAACAUUGAGCCUUGAUGUGUAGGAUAGGUGGGAGGCUUUGAAGUGUGGACGCCAGUCUGCAUGGAGCCGACCUUGAAAUACCACCCUUUAAUGUUUGAUGUUCUAACGUUGGCCCCUAAUCGGGGUUGCGGACAGUGUCUGGUGGGUAGUUUGACUGGGGCGGUCUCCUCCUAAAGAGUAACGGAGGAGCACGAAGGUUGGCUAAUCCUGGUCGGACAUCAGGAGGUUAGUGCAAUGGCAUAAGCCAGCUUGACUGCGAGCGUGACGGCGCGAGCAGGUGCGAAAGCAGGUCAUAGUGAUCCGGUGGUUCUGAAUGGAAGGGCCAUCGCUCAACGGAUAAAAGGUACUCCGGGGAUAACAGGCUGAUACCGCCCAAGAGUUCAUAUCGACGGCGGUGUUUGGCACCUCGAUGUCGGCUCAUCACAUCCUGGGGCUGAAGUAGGUCCCAAGGGUAUGGCUGUUCGCCAUUUAAAGUGGUACGCGAGCUGGGUUUAGAACGUCGUGAGACAGUUCGGUCCCUAUCUGCCGUGGGCGCUGGAGAACUGAGGGGGGCUGCUCCUAGUACGAGAGGACCGGAGUGGACGCAUCACUGGUGUUCGGGUUGUCAUGCCAAUGGCACUGCCCGGUAGCUAAAUGCGGAAGAGAUAAGUGCUGAAAGCAUCUAAGCACGAAACUUGCCCCGAGAUGAGUUCUCCCUGACUCCCUGAGAGUCCUGAAGGAACGUUGAAGACGACGACGUUGAUAGGCCGGGUGUGUAAGCGCAGCGAUGCGUUGAGCUAACCGGUACUAAUGAACCGUGAGGCUUAACCUU